AAGUGGAUUAGCGGCGGACGGGUGAGUAACACGUGAGUAACCUGCCCUUGACUUUGGGAUAACUUCAGGAAACUGGGGCUAAUACCGGAUAGGAGCUCCUGCUGCAUGGUGGGGGUUGGAAAGUUUCGGCGGUUGGGGAUGGACUCGCGGCUUAUCAGCUUGUUGGUGGGGUAGUGGCUUACCAAGGCUUUGACGGGUAGCCGGCCUGAGAGGGUGACCGGCCACAUUGGGACUGAGAUACGGGCCAG
This 248-nucleotide ribosomal RNA is filed under the name uncultured Actinomycetales bacterium. RNAcentral describes it as "partial 16S ribosomal RNA". It matches the Rfam family "Bacterial small subunit ribosomal RNA", at positions 85 to 334 of the family's 1533-position model. The record is from RNAcentral. Lineage: Bacteria; Bacillati; Actinomycetota; Actinomycetes; Actinomycetales.